GAUGAACGCUGGCGGCGUGCCUAAUACAUGCAAGUCGAGCGAACAGAUGAGGAGCUUGCUCCUCUGACGUUAGCGGCGGACGGGUGAGUAACACGUGGAUAACCUACCUAUAAGACUAGGAUAACUUCGGGAAACCGGAGCUAAUACCGGAUAAUAUAUUGAACCGCAUGGUUCAAUAGUGAAAGACGGUUUUGCUGUCACUUAUAGAUGGAUCCGCGCCGCAUUAGCUAGUUGGUAAGGUAACGGCUUACCAAGGCAACGAUGCGGAGCCGACCUGAGAGGGUGAUCGGCCACACUGGAACUGAGACACGGUCCAGACUGCUACGGGAGGCAGCAGUAGGGAAUCUUCCGCAAUGGGCGAAAGCCUGACGGAGCAACGCCGCGUGAGUGAUGAAGGUCUUCGGAUCGUAAAACUCUGUUAUUAGGGAAGAACAAAUGUGUAAGUAACUAUGCACGUCUUGACGGUACCUAAUCAGAAAGCCACGGCUAACUACGUG
This 497-nucleotide ribosomal RNA is filed under the name uncultured bacterium. Its description in RNAcentral is "partial 16S ribosomal RNA". It matches the Rfam family "Bacterial small subunit ribosomal RNA", at positions 28 to 507 of the family's 1533-position model. The record is from RNAcentral.